RNAcentral lists this ribosomal RNA (372 nucleotides) under uncultured organism. RNAcentral's name for it is "bacterial SSU rRNA". It matches the Rfam family "Bacterial small subunit ribosomal RNA", at positions 526 to 896 of the family's 1533-position model. The record is from RNAcentral.
CGUAGGUGGCAAGCGUUGUCCGGAAUUAUUGGGUGUAAAGGGGUGCGUAGGCGGGAAUAUAAGUCGGAUGUGAAAUGCCCGGGCUCAACUCGGGAGCUGCAUUCGAAACUAUAUCUCUUGAGUGAAGUAGAGGCAAGCGGAAUUCCUAGUGUAGCGGUGAAAUGCGUAGAUAUUAGGAGGAACACCAGUGGCGAAGGCGGCUUGCUGGGCUUUUACUGACGCUGAGGCACGAAAGCAUGGGGAGCAAACAGGAUUAGAUACCCUGGUAGUCCAUGCUGUAAACGAUGAAUGCUAGGUGUGGGGGGUCUGACCCCUUCCGUGCCGGAGUUAACACAAUAAGCAUUCCACCUGGGGAGUACGGCCGCAAGGUUG